RNAcentral lists this small RNA (282 nucleotides) under Drosophila ananassae. Its description in RNAcentral is "GF27351". Lineage: Eukaryota; Metazoa; Arthropoda; Insecta; Diptera; Drosophilidae. The record is from RNAcentral.
CUGGCAGCCAAAGUCAGCAAAAUAUUUAUUCAAAUAGCGUGCGCGUCUCCGGCUCCCUAAAGCUGCAGGUUGAAAUGGUCAGAGGCGGGACCCCAGAACCCUGAACCCCGAUCUCAGAACCCAUAGCCCACGAAUGCGCUACGUGAUAAGCCUGUUCGUUUCCAUGGAAUUCCUGCUGACUAAUAUGGUGAGGACCUCAAGCUAAUUUUCAUUUGGGUGCCCAGGCCAGAAGUCAAAUAAAUGGCGCACAAUGGGCCUCAUACAGAUAAUGGAAAAGGUAUC